RNAcentral lists this ribosomal RNA (428 nucleotides) under uncultured bacterium. RNAcentral's name for it is "partial 16S ribosomal RNA". It matches the Rfam family "Bacterial small subunit ribosomal RNA", at positions 354 to 796 of the family's 1533-position model. The record is from RNAcentral.
GUAGGGAAUAUUGCGCAAUGGGGGAAACCCUGACGCAGCGACGCCGCGUGAGUGAUGAAGGCCGUCGGGUCGUAAAGCUCUGUUGCAGGGGAAUAAAAAAAUGAAGGUACCCUGUGAGGAAGGAUCGGCUAACUUCGUGCCAGCAGCCGCGGUAAGACGAGGGAUCCUAGCGUUGCUCGGAAUCAUUGGGCGUAAAGAGGGCGUAGGUGGCUUGGUAAGUCAGGUGUGAAAGCCCAGGGCUCAACCCUGGAAGUGCAUUUGAUACUGCUGAGCUUGAGUGUCGGAGAGGUUACCGGAAUACCUGGUGUAGUGGUGAAAUACGUAGAUAUCAGGUGGAACACCGGAGGCGAAGGCGGGUAACUGGACGAACACUGACACUGAGGCCCGAAAGCGUGGGGAUCAAACAGGAUUAGAAACCCUUGUAGUCC